GACGAACGCUGGCGGCGUGCUUAACACAUGCAAGUCGAACGAAGUGGCGAACGGGUGAGUAACGCGUAAUCAACCUGCCCUUCAGAGGGGGACAACAGUUGGAAACGACUGCUAAUACCGCAUACUGCAGGAGGGGAUUGCGUCUGAUUAGCUAGUUGGGGGGGUAACGGCCCACCAAGGCGAUGAUCAGUAGCCGGGCUGGGAGGAUGAACGGCCACAACGGGACUUAGACAAGGCCCAGAAUCCUUAGGGAGGCAGCCAGGGGGGAUCUUCCGGCAUUGACGAAAGUCCUACGGAGGCACGGCGCGGGAGGGAUGGAGGCCUUCGGGUUGGAAAGCUUUGUUAAUCGGGACGCGGUACCGGAAUAGAAAGCCACGGCUAACUACGUGCCAGCCGCCGCGGUAAUAC
RNAcentral lists this ribosomal RNA (408 nucleotides) under uncultured bacterium. RNAcentral's name for it is "partial 16S ribosomal RNA". It matches the Rfam family "Bacterial small subunit ribosomal RNA", at positions 28 to 526 of the family's 1533-position model. The record is from RNAcentral.